Molecule: long non-coding RNA, 1037 nt
Organism: Micropterus dolomieu (smallmouth bass)
Lineage: Eukaryota; Metazoa; Chordata; Actinopteri; Centrarchiformes; Centrarchidae
Exons: 3
Source: RefSeq, a predicted model, not a curated record
CAGUCCAUGUCAAGAAUACCAACCGCGGGAAAUAACUGACACUUCAGUGAUCCAACAUAACAAAGAAAGACUUGAAACGUCUAAUCUUAUUUCAGAUCCAAUAUCUGUCUGUGUUGCUCCUUCGUUACUCUAUCGAAAUGAAAAUAAGUGAUGGCGACGAAUUUUACCAACGUUACUCCUUUUAUUAGUAAGUCAUGAGACCAGCUCGAGGACCUCUGGGGGGUCCGUGCACCCCAUUUUUGGAAGCGCUGACAUAACAUCAGUCAAUCAGUGCGUGCCACGUAAGCGCAGCCUCCCAAACUACAACUUUGGACUGAAGUGUGGGAAGAGGAAAGGAAAAGGUUACAGCAUGGAAAGAGACAGAGGUGGCGCACAGAGAGGGACUUACGCUGAUGGAUGAGGGGAAGCCCAAACCUGCUUCUUCAGAUGGGACGCAUGACGGCUUAGGUGUCAAGAAUGUGCCCACCCAUCCAUUAACCUGUCCAACAAAACACCAUUGUCGGGAGCGAAAACAAAAUGUGAGUUAGCAUCUCUGUCAUUGCUGUACAUCUGUAUUAUCAUGCUUGCGGUUAUAAAUACUUAAAGACUUAGUAUUUACCCUAUAAUAUACGCCAUGUGGGCAAUUCAUCUAAUAAACAGAAAAGACUAAACAGAAAAGAACACUUGGAGUUUGUGUUUAUCAUUCUGUGCAUUGUGAGCACUCCAAGCACAAAGCAUGACAACCACUGACAUUUUUAUGUAUACAUGACCAGAAGGAAAUUCAAACCAGAAGACCAAACUCUGGUUUACGUUUUAUUCCUGUUUAAACAGCAAUAAAAGGAUAAUUGGGUUUGAGAGUCACUGAGUUACUAAGAAAAGGCCCUUUAUAAUGAAAAUUACUUCACAGAUAGUCGGUUUACUUGAAGUUAAUGUUCCAAACACAGGAGAGCUGGUGAGGGAUGAUUUUGUUCUGGAAACGGUUCUGAUUGAGCUCGUUUCUACAACACUUGACCUGUGCUUUAAAAAACACCUGCUCAACAUUUAAUGAUCUUGCUUUC